UGGAAAACUGGAGCACUGCUGCCAUUUGUUAAAUCCCAGAGUAAAAUAAAUGGCAAUAUUGAAAUAAUCGAUUAUUAAUAAUUCAUUAUUGACUGUAAUCCACAUCAGGAGGAAGAGGAGUGAAGAGGAAAGCGGAUGAUGAUUUGCAGAGUGAUUCUGAUGGAGUCAAACCAUACGCUCUGCGGAAACGCAUCAAAGCUGCAGAGACGUCCAGCGAUGAGAACAGCCGCUCAGGUCAGUCUCCCGUUACUCUUCUACAGUUGUAUGAGCAUAUAUAUGUCAGCUUAAAGGCACAGUGCACGACGACACAAAGCAGCAGAGCUUUUAUUAUGCCACAGUCCAGCGCGUCUGGUUCUUCAGCUCGUGAUCACGUGUGCUGUUUUAUCAGACUAAAUACAUGUUGGGCUUCUGUUAUAAUGCUGCUCUGUGCUGUCAAAUAAAACACAAACAUAUUAAAACCUCGCUAAACAAACAGAGCAGAAAUAGAGGAUGUGUGACGUCAUUAGGAUGAACACACACACUGGCUGUGUCUAAAAUCACACGCUUCCAUACUAAAUAGUACAUUAAGACAGUAUGUGAGCCGAGUAGUAUGUCUGACCUCACAGUAUUUGACAAACAGCAUGUGAGAAGUACCCGGAUGACCUACUACUACUGGAGAGAUUCUGAAGUGUGCAUCCAGUGGACACUACACUGUCCCAUAAUGCACUGCGAGAUCAUUCAUGAAUCACUCCUCUAGUGGAUUUUGGAGAUUUUGAUAAUAAAAGUCUCACAUAAUGUGCCUUUAAACCUGUGAAUGAUGCAGUAUUGUGCAAAGUAUUUCUCAGUAGAGCUUCUUGACAAAACAUCUGGAAACUAGUAGCACUGCUGCCAUUUAAACAGAUCCCCAAAUACAAUAAAUGCCAAUUAAUGAAAGAACUGAUCAUUAAUAAUGCAUUGUUGACUGGAAUCCACAGAAGCUCCAAGAGCACUGAAGAGGAAGGCUGGAUGUCUGGAUCAGGACACAGUUGCUGCAAAACGAGUGAAAACAGCCCAGAUCCAACAUGGCGGCAGCAGCAAAACUGCAGCAGAAGACAGAAGCUCAGCUAAAGACAGCAGUUCAGCUAAAGACAGCAGCUCAGCUAAAGACAGCAGCUCAGGAUCUUUACUUGACAGAUAUGUGCUUGGGAAGAAGCUGGGAGAGGGAUACCAUGGCACUGUCUAUCUGGCUACACGGAAAUCUGACGGCCAGAAGGUUGCCAAAAAAUUGUGACUAAAAAGCUUCUGGGAACGCGGUACCCGAUGACACGAAAUAGUUUCACCACGGACACGAAGAGUACGAAUCAAACAGCGACAGUCCACUGUCAAAAUACAUCACCGCGGUCACAGGCAUUAAUAAACGAGCCAGAGUCAUCGAUCACAACAGUGCGCUUGCGUGAUGAGAUCCUGAAUCCUGACUGAAGGAAGCCCGCCGAACAAAAUGUCUGGGCAGCUCCCACACACCGUCUCAGGUUCCAUUUGGAGAAAUAAUAUCUGCUGCUCAAAGCCUGGUGUCGAGGCUCACCAACACCCUAAGAUCACCAGAGAACACAAACCAACUAAGAGAGAUUAGUUCAACACAGAGAGAGAGGACAACAUCAAGUUUCCAGAGCCAGUCAGUUCAGCAAGAAAUGAGGUCAUUUCCUGGGUUUUUCCGAGAGGAGCGUAGAGGGAAAAGCUGUUUUGCACCAUAUAAGGGGCAAUGUAAAAGCUUAUUAAUGUAUUUUUACCUGCUGGACAAACAGCAUGAAAAAACACCAAAAGGAGAGGCAGAAGUACAUCUCACUAUGGCUGGACUUGGAAGACAGCAGUUAAAUGUGCAAGAAAAUUUCCCCCAUUCAGAGGUCUUCCAGAACAUGCCGUCAUCCUUGAUGUGAAAACAAGGUGGAAUAGCUUAUUCCUCAUGGUGGAGCGAUUCCUAGAGCAGUUCUCUGCCUUCCAGGCCACCUCCAUGGACCAUCGUCUUAAGAAAUUAAUGGACAAGGACAGGUAAAAACUCUGUUCUCAUUUUAAAUGCUUAUUCAAUUUUCAGUGUAAACGAUUUUGCUCAUGAAUCUAUAGUCCAGCUAAUGAAUCUGAUCAUAUUUUACAGACUGCAGAGAAUUUCUGAUGAGGAUUUUAGAAAAGCAGAAGAGUUUGUCAAAAUUACAAAGAUACUUUACACUUCAACCCUCUGCGUCUCUGCUGAAAGGAGCCAAAACUUGGGUCAGAUUCUGCCUAUCUUAAAUAAGCUCCAGCACCACUUCACAGUGAAUAAAGAGGACUCCUCCUUCACAAAGACCAUCAAGGACCCUAUCUGGAUUGACCUCUCAAAAAGAUACCAGGGGUGCAGUGUAAUCCUGCUGAAUUUGCUCUUGUUUUCAUUAGAAUUAUUCAGUGAUUGACUCAGUGUUUUUGUCUUGAAUAUCAGAUGGAGGAGGGCACAGCCUUGCAUCCCAGAUUCAAGUCAAAAGUGACAAAUGAAGUGUGGACCAGACUGAAGGAGGAGCUAAUGAAAAGGACCUUAGAACAGCGGACUCCAGCAGUUGACCGAUCCUUCACCAGAACUCUCACUCAAACUCACAUUCUCCCUGGAGCACCAGAGCACCUAUCCACUGAAGAGCACCAUAUUCAUCUCAUUUCACGUACUUCACUAUAUAAAUAAAUCACCCUCCGGAGACCUGUUUGUAACACCAACGCUUUGUUAGGAGGAAGAGGAGUGAAGAGGAAAGCGGAGGAUGAUUUUCACAGUAUUUUAGGUGAAGGCAAACCAUACGCUCUGCGGAAACGCAUCAGAGUUGCAGAGCUGGAGAACACAAGAGACACAGAGAUGAGCAGCUAUCAAGAGAAAACCAGCUCAGGUGUGUCUCCAUCAAAACUUGUACAGCUUCAGCACCAUACAUUUAUCACCACUGAAGAUUCUGAAACAUGAAGCAGGGUGCAAAGUGUUUCACUCAGUUAGCUGCUAAAUCCAGUGAGCAUGCGGAGAUUUUGGCCACUAGGCAACAAUACAGUGUCUGGAUCAAAGUGAUUGAUUUAUCUAUUAUGGCCAAAAUCAAUACAAUAUUAUAUUAUGAUCAUGCUCCAUCAAGUUGAACACUUUCUACUGUAAACAUGUCAGAACUCAGAUGUUGAUUUGAACUUAAUUCGGGCACUUUAAAGGGGAUUUUCUCAAUCUUUAUAUUCUGAAGAGUGUAUUGUUCAUUGUGUUGUCAUCCACAUUAGGAGGAAGAGGAGUGAAGCGGAAAGCGGAUGAUGAUUUUCACAGUGUUUUAGGUGAAGGUAAACCUUAUGCACUGCGCAAACGCAUCAAAGUUGCUGAGCUGGAGAACACAAGAGUGGACGCCGACACAGAGGCGUCCAGCUCAGGUCAGUCCACUCUUUAUGACUGGAGAAAUACUGGAAAACUGGAGCACUGCUGCCAUUCGUUAAAUCCCAGAGUAAAAUAAAUGCCAAUUAAUGAAAUAAUCGAUUAUUAAUAAUUCAUUAUUGACUGUAAUCCACAUCAGGAGGAAGAGGAGUGAAGAGGAAAGCGGAUGAUGAUUUUCACAGUGUUUUAGGUGAAGGUAAACCUUAUGCACUGCGGAAACGCAUCAGAGCUGCUGAGACGUCCAGCGAUGAGAACAGCAGCUCAGGUCAGUCUCCCGUUACAGAAUCACACUUUUCUACAGUUUCAUCACUUAAAAUUCAUAAUACAGAGGCAAGCUGCAAAGUAUUUUAAUCAGUUAGCUGCUAAAGCAAUGGCAGAAAUACACGGUAUGUGUGAAAAUUAUCCACUUUUAUUUGUGCCAAAAAAAUCAUUCAAAUAGGGCGACGCGGUGGUGCUGUGGGUAGCAUGUUCUCCUCACAGAUAGAAGGUCGCUGGUUUGAACCUCGGCUGGGUCAGUUGGUGUUUCUGUGUGGAGUUUGCAUGUUCUCCCCAUGUUGGCAUGGGUUCCCCCACAGUCCAAACUAUUUUCUACAAUGUAGAUUGUGUCAAAGCAGCUUAACAUAGAAGUUGUAGUAAAUUGAAACUGUGUCAGUCCAGUUUUCAGAGUUGAAAACAAACGUGAAAAAGCUUCAUUACUGGCAUAAAAAAUAAAUGAUUCUUAAGAUUAGGAGUGUAUUGUUCAUUGUGUUGUCAUCCACAUUAGGAGGAAGAGGAGUGAAGCGGAAAGCAGAUGAUGCUUUUCAGAGUGU
This is a non-coding RNA of Danio rerio (zebrafish), 4173 nucleotides long. Lineage: Eukaryota; Metazoa; Chordata; Actinopteri; Cypriniformes; Danionidae. The record is from RefSeq and is a predicted model, not a curated record.